Molecule: long non-coding RNA, 1023 nt
Filed under: Physcomitrium patens
Lineage: Eukaryota; Viridiplantae; Streptophyta; Bryopsida; Funariales; Funariaceae
Description: long non-coding RNA (PPAT_LNC001621)
Source: RNAcentral
AGAUCUAUAGAUGAAAUUUUUUGGGUUAAUGGUUAUAUUUGUGUUCAAUAUGUUUUGUAAAUUUGAGCUCAAUCUAAUGGUUGAAUUAAAGAUUAUUGAAGUUUAGAUGAGUCAAGGUCUCAGAAAGUAGAACUUUAGGUCCAAUGAGGGUUUUUAAGAUUUCUUACAAUCUACUAGUUGUAUUGAAGUGAAAUUUAUGUGAGAGGAUAUUAGAAUUAUUUUUCUAUGUAUAUGAGAAUUUUGAGAUCAAUCAAAUGGUAAAAAGGAGAGAUAGGCUUUAGGAGAUCGACAUUAAGGUUGGAGAAGGAGGCCGGCCAAUACCCGAGCAUGUUUUUGAGGUUAUUGAUUAUUUGAUAAUUUCGAUCUUUUUCAAAAAUUUUGUACGUAUUUUCAACUUAGUUUUUAAGAAGUGUCGAAAAUUUGAAUUAAGAUCAAUAAUUUAAUCAUUAGUUAUUGAGGUUUAAUUUUGUUAUAGAAAUGACUAGGAUUUGAUUAGGAUUUGAUUAAGAGUUAGGAUUUGGUUAGGAUUUGAUUUAGGAUUAAGUUAGGAUUUGAUUUAGGAUUAAGAUUUGGUUAGGAUUUGAUUUAGGAUUUACUUUAGGAUUUAGGGUUUUAUUUAGGGUUUAAGAUUUAUUUAGUUUUUGGCCUAAAAUUUGAAUGAAGUCCAAUAGGAUUUUAACUAGGAUUAAAUUAAGAUGUAUUUGAGAUAUAUUUUUGAUUAUUCUAAUAUUUCUUUAAGAUUUCUUAUUGUUUCUUUGAAAUUCCUUUGAAUUUUCUUUGAAUUUGAUUAAAGCUUACUUAACAUUAUUAUGGUCUAAUUAGAGUUUAAUUAGUAUUCUAUUAGAAUUAGGAUUUUUUUGUUGCAAUUUUUAUUCUAUCUUUGACAGCUAGGUGCCCGGAGCAUUCUCAAGCAAGACUUCAUAUAUUACGACAACGGUUGAAUUGGAUGUUACAGCUUGUUAAAGUUCACUGAUUAGGAUUGGAGUUUCCAAGAAAAAUCUAAAUUGCUUAAAUAUGAAAGUA